AGAGUUUGAUCAUGGCUCAGAACGAACGCUGGCGGUGCGUUUUAAGCAUGCAAGUCGAGCGGUAGCAGGGCUUCGGCUCUGUGAGAGCGGCGAACGGGUGAGUAACACGUGGGUGACCUACCCAGGGAUGGGGGAUAGCCUGUGGAAACACAGGGUAAUACCGCAUACGAUCCGGACCCUUUGGGGACCGGAUGAAAGGCGCGUUUGCGCCGUACCUGGAUGGGCCCGCGGCCUAUUAGCUAGUUGGUGAGGUAAGAGCCCACCAAGGCGACGAUAGGUAGCCGGCCUGAGAGGGUGAACGGCCACACUGGAACUGAGACACGGUCCAGACUCCUACGGGAGGCAGCAGCUAAGAAUCUUCCGCAAUGGGCGAAAGCCUGACGGAGCGACGCCGCGUGGGUGAAGAAGGCGGAAACGUUGUAAAACCCUUUUCUGCGUGAGGAAUAAGGCGGGUAGGAAAUGAUCCGCUGAUGACGGUAGCGCAGGAAUAAGCCCCGGCCAAUUACGUGCCAGCAGCCGCGGUAACACGUAUGGGGCGAGCGUUGUUCGGAAUCAUUGGGCGUAAAGGGCGCGCAGGCGGUCAUGCAAGUCUGGUGUGAAAGCCCACAGCUUAACUGUGGAGACGCGCUGGAAACUGUGUGACUCGAGUUCAGGAAGGGAAGCUGGAAUUCCAGGUGUAGGGGUGAAAUCUGUAGAUAUCUGGAAGAACAUCAGUGGCGAAGGCGAGCUUCUGGCCAUGAACUGACGCUGAGGCGCGAAAGCGUGGGGAGCAAACAGGAUUAGAUACCCUAGUAGUCC
This 798-nucleotide ribosomal RNA is filed under the name uncultured bacterium. RNAcentral describes it as "bacterial SSU rRNA". It matches the Rfam family "Bacterial small subunit ribosomal RNA", at positions 8 to 796 of the family's 1533-position model. The record is from RNAcentral.